UACGUAGGGGGCAAGCGUUGUCCGGAUUUAUUGGGCGUAAAGAGCGUGUAGGCGGCUAGGUAGGUCUGCUGUGAAAACUCGAGGCUUAACCUCGAGAUGUCGGCGGAAACCAUCUGGCUAGAGUCCGGAAGAGGAGAAUGGAAUUCCCGGUGUAGCGGUGAAAUGCGCAGAUAUCGGGAAGAACACCCGUGGCGAAGGCGGUUCUCUGGGACGGUACUGACGCUGAGACGCGAAAGCGUGGGGAGCGAACAGG
RNAcentral lists this ribosomal RNA (253 nucleotides) under uncultured bacterium. RNAcentral describes it as "partial 16S ribosomal RNA". It matches the Rfam family "Bacterial small subunit ribosomal RNA", at positions 524 to 776 of the family's 1533-position model. The record is from RNAcentral.